CAGUAGCCGCGGUAAUACGUAGGGUGCGAGCGUUAAUCGGAAUUACUGGGCGUAAAGCGUGCGCAGGCGGUUCGUUAAGACAGAUGUGAAAUCCCCGGGCUUAACCUGGGAACUGCAUUUGUGACUGGCGAGCUAGAGUAUGGCAGAGGGGGGUAGAAUUCCACGUGUAGCAGUGAAAUGCGUAGAGAUGUGGAGGAAUACCGAUGGCGAAGGCAGCCUCCUGGGACAACACUGACGUUCAUGCCCGAAAGCGUGGGUAGUAAACAGGAUUAGAUACCCCCGUAGUCCCUGUCUCUUAUAC
Molecule: ribosomal RNA, 301 nt
Filed under: uncultured bacterium
Lineage: Bacteria
Description: partial 16S ribosomal RNA
Rfam family: Bacterial small subunit ribosomal RNA
Source: RNAcentral